RNAcentral lists this unclassified non-coding RNA (296 nucleotides) under uncultured fungus. RNAcentral's name for it is "partial contains 5.8S ribosomal RNA, internal transcribed spacer 2, and large subunit ribosomal RNA". The record is from RNAcentral. Lineage: Eukaryota; Fungi.
AACGCAUAUUGCGCUCGAGGCUUCGGCCAAGAGCAUGCCUGCCUCAGCGUCGGCCCUUCUCUCGCCGCCCGCCUUGUGUGGGUGUCGGACUUGGCCGUCUCGGCUGCACCAGCUGCCGGGUCGGCUGAAGCGUAUGGCGCAUCCGCUGGCCUUCAACCGGCGUUGACAAACUGCGUAGCCUUGCUACCGCCUUGUCGACUGCCGUGGCUUGUUCGGAUGCGCGCCAGGACUGGGCUGUCCCCAGCACCUUUUCACCCUUCGACCUGAGCUCAGGCAAGACCACCCGCUGAACUUAA